RNAcentral lists this ribosomal RNA (461 nucleotides) under uncultured bacterium. RNAcentral describes it as "partial 16S ribosomal RNA". It matches the Rfam family "Bacterial small subunit ribosomal RNA", at positions 338 to 795 of the family's 1533-position model. The record is from RNAcentral.
CCUACGGGAGGCAGCAGUGAGGAAUAUUGGUCAAUGGACGAGAGUCUGAACCAGCCAAGUAGCGUGAAGGAUGACUACCCUAUGGGUUGUAAACUUCUUUUAUAAAGGAAUAAAACGAGGCACGUGUGCCUUUUUGCAUGUACUUUAUGAAUAAGGAUCGGCUAACUCCGUGCCAGCAGCCGCGGUAAUACGGAGGAUCCGAGCGUUAUCCGGAUUUAUUGGGUUUAAAGGGAGCGUAGAUGGGUUGUUAAGUCAGUUGUGAAAGUGUGCGGCUCAACCGUAAAAUUGGAAUUGAUACUGGGAGUCUUGAGUACAGUGGAGGUAGGCGGAAUUCGUGGUGUAGCGGUGAAAUGCUUAGAUAUCACGAAGAAACCCGAUUGCGAAGGCAGCUUACUAAACUGUGACUGACAUUGAUGCUCGAAAGUGUGGGUAUCAAACAGGAUUAGAUACCCCGAGUAGUC